This 77-nucleotide transfer RNA is filed under the name Candidatus Bathyarchaeota archaeon. RNAcentral's name for it is "tRNA-Val". It matches the Rfam family "tRNA". From Rfam's summary of the family: Transfer RNA (tRNA) molecules are approximately 80 nucleotides in length. The record is from RNAcentral. Lineage: Archaea; Thermoproteati; Candidatus Bathyarchaeota.
GGGCGGGUCGUCUAGUUGGUUAGGAUGCCGCCCUGACGCGGCGGUGGUCGUGGGUUCGAAUCCCACCCCGCCCACCA